GGCCUAUUUGAGUAUUGGUUGUGUGCUUCGAUGUUUCAGUUUCACCUCUAGCUUGAUUUCGAGUCACAAUGGUAGAAAUUGCAAGCUCUAGCAUUUUAGUUAUUUUCCCCUUUAUUUUUGGGAGGGGAUUGGGCACUGUGCACUGUGCACACCCAUUUCUCUUAUGGCUUGUGAUGAACAAUAUGAUCAAGAUGAGAGCUGUGCCAGCGAAAUGCGAAUGUUCCCACUUUUUAGAUGGGUGUCGUAUCAGAUAUUGCUUUCUGAUCUGAUGCAAGGGUAAUGGAGGAGUCCUGGAGUGGUGAAACUGACAUGUGGGAUAACAGAUUUGGUCAUUGUGCUAAGUUGCUAGGAGACAGGCUCACUUCCACACAUCACAUACACUGCGUUGGGAUAUUCUGAUGGAAUGAUAUUGACCACAAAUGAUUUGAAUGAGUCUGACGUGUCAGAGGUUGAGCCAAUAGGAUUAUCUCCUUUUUGUUUCUUUGUUUUUUUUUCUGGCUGAAAGCGACAGGAAACAAAAUAAGGUGUGGAUUUGAUUUGAAUAAAUAGAACUGCAAAUUCACCGUAUUUAGCCAUUUAUCUGUUAGUAUCAGAUCAGUUAUUAAAUUGAUGAACAUGGUCAUAGUUUACGUUUUGUAGAUUUCUCUUUCUUAAAUGUAAAAAUAUCAUCUUUCACCAAUGUUGGCAGUUUUGCUAUGGCUAUUUUUCAAUACUCUAUUACAGUGCUCUGAACUAGCAAGGUUAAGAAUAUAUAGGUUAUUACAGGU
Molecule: long non-coding RNA, 767 nt
Filed under: Sorghum bicolor (sorghum)
Lineage: Eukaryota; Viridiplantae; Streptophyta; Magnoliopsida; Poales; Poaceae
Description: long non-coding RNA (SBIC_LNC014594)
Source: RNAcentral